GCGGCAGGCUUAACACAUGCAAGUCGAACGGUAGCAGGAAGAAGCUUGCUUCUUUGCUGACGAGUGGCGGACGGGUGAGUAAUGCUUGGGAAUCUGGCUUAUGGAGGGGGAUAACUACUGGAAACGGUAGCUAAUACCGCGUAAUGUCUUUGGACUAAAGGGUGGGACCGUAAGGCCACCUGCCAUAAGAUGAGCCCAAGUGGGAUUAGGUAGUUGGUGAGGUAAAGGCUCACCAAGCCCGCGAUCUCUAGCUGGUCUGAGAGGAUGACCAGCCACACUGGAACUGAGACACGGUCCAGACUCCUACGGGAGGCAGCAGUGGGGAAUAUUGCACAAUGGGGGGAACCCUGAUGCAGCCAUGCCGCGUGAAUGAAGAAGGCCUUCGGGUUGUAAAGUUCUUUCGGUGACGAGGAAGGCGAUUGUUUUAAUAGAACAGUCGAUUGACGUUAAUCACAGAAGAAGCACCGGCUAACUCCGUGCCAGCAGCCGCGGUAAUACGGGGGGUGCGAGCGUUAAUCGGAAUAACUGGGCGUAAAGGGCACGCAGGCGGAUAGUUAAGUGAGAUGUGAAAGCCCCGGGCUUAACCUGGGAAUUGCAUUUCAGACUGGCUAUCUAGAGUAUUUUAGGGAGGGGUAGAAUUCCACGUGUAGCGGUGAAAUGCGUAGAGAUGUGGAGGAAUACCGAAGGCGAAGGCAGCCCCUUGGGAAUAUACUGACGCUCAUGUGCGAAAGCGUGG
RNAcentral lists this ribosomal RNA (736 nucleotides) under Pasteurellaceae bacterium I24. Its description in RNAcentral is "bacterial SSU rRNA". It matches the Rfam family "Bacterial small subunit ribosomal RNA", at positions 39 to 764 of the family's 1533-position model. The record is from RNAcentral. Lineage: Bacteria; Pseudomonadati; Pseudomonadota; Gammaproteobacteria; Pasteurellales; Pasteurellaceae.